UACGUAGGGGGCUAGCGUUGCUCGGAAUCACUGGGCGUAAAGGGUGCGUAGGCGGGUCUUUAAGUCAGGGGUGAAAUCCUGGAGCUCAACUCCAGAACUGCCUUUGAUACUGAAGAUCUUGAGUCCGGGAGAGGUGAGUGGAACUGCGAGUGUAGAGGUGAAAUUCGUAGAUAUUCGCAAGAACACCAGUGGCGAAGGCGGCUCACUGGCCCGGUACUGACGCUGAGGCACGAAAGCGUGGGGAGCAAACAGG
This 253-nucleotide ribosomal RNA is filed under the name uncultured bacterium. Its description in RNAcentral is "partial 16S ribosomal RNA". It matches the Rfam family "Bacterial small subunit ribosomal RNA", at positions 524 to 776 of the family's 1533-position model. The record is from RNAcentral.